This 225-nucleotide ribosomal RNA is filed under the name uncultured bacterium. Its description in RNAcentral is "partial 16S ribosomal RNA". It matches the Rfam family "Bacterial small subunit ribosomal RNA", at positions 524 to 751 of the family's 1533-position model. The record is from RNAcentral.
UACAGAGGGGGCAAGCGUUGUUCGGAAUUACUGGGCGUAAAGGGCGCGUAGGCGGCCUGUUAAGUCGAACGUGAAAUCCCCGGGCUCAACCCGGGAACUGCGUCCGAUACUGGCAGGCUUGAAUCCGGGAGAGGGAUGCGGAAUUCCAGGUGUAGCGGUGAAAUGCGCAGAUAUCAGGAGGAACACCAAUUGCGAAGGCAGCUCCGCUGGGACGUUAAGCUGACG